UUUUUUUUUUUUCCUUUUUCUUUCUUAUUCAUCUUAUCUUGCUUCUUUACUUCUACCCGAUCUGGCAUAAUCUUUAUCUUUUUUCUGUUGUGCCUUUGUUUAUUCUCUACUGCUGUUUUUUUCCCUUUUCUGUCAUUUUUUUUCCUUUUCUGUUUGGUGUCGUUCACAAAAUUAUACAAAUCAUCUAUUGCUCCAUCCUACUCACAAAUUUUUUUUUAAUCUCCCAAUACAGACCUAAUAGGUGCCAUCCAUAUAUGGGCAUGGCUUGGAUAACUGUGAUAAAACAAUAAUUAUACAGUUAAUCAAAAUUUUGUUAAUAGAGUGGGAUGCAUGGGUAGUCUCAUAAGAAAAUAAAUAUAAGCAAACCCACUAUAAAAUUAGCAGUUGCAAUAGCACAACAGCAGUAGAAUAGAUAUAAGAAAACCCACUGUUAAUGAUGGGUUCAAUUGAUGAUAUUCACAAAAUUGGAGUGCUUAAUUGAGCCUGAUUAUAAUUCAGGGCUAAAACUCACUCCCCCUUGUAGUUGAGGUGGCUAAAUUAGACUUUUGGCCAUUUUUUUUUUUUAAUCUUCAGUGGCUCAUUUGUUAUUGCAUUUGGCUUUAAUAAUUCUCAGAACUUAACGAUACUGUUAUAGCAAUUAGGUAAUUGACAUUAAAGGCUCAAAAAAUACUUGGAAGAUGUUCUGCUUUGCAAACAAGCAAUCCCCUUCUGGUGCCUCUAUAGUGGUGUUGGAUUGGAUGAAUUGCUCAGGCCAAGAAUCGCCAUGCAAAUGAUCAAGAAUGCUGGACUCUUAAAUCUGCCAGAAUCAUUCUUGAUUUGCUUAAGCAGGCUUGUCAACUAAAUGACAGGUGAAAGGCCUGUAUAUGGAUGUAUGAAACAAACACAAGAGCAUAGGUACUGAACCUGUGCUUGACAGAAUUAAUCAGCUAGUUCAAAUUUUCUUUUGCUUCAAUUCUCACGGUAAGUGCCAAGUUGGUGGGUUUCUUGAACGCCUUUCUUGCAUAUUUUAAUUCAUCAUAUGUGUCAUUGCCACGCUAUAUCCAAUUGAUUUUGUUGGAGUGGACGGGCUAGCAUAAAAGUUAUUGAUCAUCAUUUAUAUCAAUUUGGCCCCGCAGCAUCAAUGAGAUUAUAAUGAUCAGAAUUUAUUGAUUUAUCAUCAGUCAAAUUAGAAAUUUUGAUGUUUAUUUUGUUUUCUUGGUUUUGCAGAUUGGGACUUAGCUGGCUUCCAUAAAGCACAAGAAUACACGAGCUCUAUGUGUGUGCCGGAGAUGCAGCAGUAGGAGUUCUUACCAUUGAUUUCUUUGGACAACCCCCAUUCUGGAAAGAUGUCUUUCUGGAUGUUAUCAAUUGUAUGUUGCUCCUCAGAUUUUGGAGUGUAGAAAAACUUUCAAAUGGAUUUUUGUAGGAAAAAAGGUGACUGGAUGUUUAAUACUUUCCAACUAUACGUGUUUUCACAAACUCUCACAUAUUAACCUUAUGUUGAGUUGUAGAGAUAUAGAACGCAUGCCAUGUUUAUAUCGAGUUGGUGUCUUAGGCUGAGCUAUCUUAGUACAUGGUUGUUGUAG
This 1565-nucleotide unclassified non-coding RNA is filed under the name Hevea brasiliensis (rubber tree). Lineage: Eukaryota; Viridiplantae; Streptophyta; Magnoliopsida; Malpighiales; Euphorbiaceae. The record is from RNAcentral.